RNAcentral lists this ribosomal RNA (310 nucleotides) under uncultured bacterium. Its description in RNAcentral is "partial 16S ribosomal RNA". It matches the Rfam family "Bacterial small subunit ribosomal RNA", at positions 503 to 807 of the family's 1533-position model. The record is from RNAcentral.
AAGAGACAGCAGCAGCCGCGGUAAUACGUAGGUGGCAAGCGUUGUCCGGAAUUAUUGGGCGUAAAGGGCUCGCAGGCGGUUUCUUAAGUCUGAUGUGAAAGCCCCCGGCUCAACCGGGGAGGGUCAUUGGAAACUGGGAAACUUGAGUGCAGAAGAGGAGAGUGGAAUUCCACGUGUAGCAGUGAAAUGCGUAGAGAUGCGGAGGAACACCAGUGGCGAAGGCGACUCUCUGGUCUGUAACUGACGCUGAGGAGCGAAAGCGUGGGGAGCGAACAGGAUUAGAUACCCCAGUAGUCCCUGUCUCUUAUAC